RNAcentral lists this ribosomal RNA (253 nucleotides) under uncultured bacterium. Its description in RNAcentral is "partial 16S ribosomal RNA". It matches the Rfam family "Bacterial small subunit ribosomal RNA", at positions 524 to 776 of the family's 1533-position model. The record is from RNAcentral.
UACGGGGGGGGCAAGCGUUAUUCGGAAUUACUGGGCUUAAAGGGUGCGUAGGCGGCGCAGUAAGUUGGGUGUGAAAUCCCUCGGCUUAACCGAGGAAUUGCGCCCAAAACUACUGUGCUCGAGGGAGGUAGAGGUGAGCGGAACUUAGGGUGGAGCGGUGAAAUGCGUUGAUAUCCUAAGGAACACCGGUGGCGAAAGCGGCUCACUGGACCUCUUCUGACGCUGAGGCACGAAAGCUAGGGUAGCAAACGGG